RNAcentral lists this ribosomal RNA (468 nucleotides) under uncultured bacterium. Its description in RNAcentral is "partial 16S ribosomal RNA". It matches the Rfam family "Bacterial small subunit ribosomal RNA", at positions 28 to 507 of the family's 1533-position model. The record is from RNAcentral.
GACGAACGCUGGCGGCGUGCUUAACACAUGCAAGUCGAACGGAAAGGCCCUGCUUUUGUGGGGUUCUCGAGUGGCGAACGGGUGAGUAACACGUGAGUAACCUUCCCUUGACUUUGGGAUAACUUCAGGAAACUGGGGCUAAUACCGGAUAGGAUCUCCUGCUGCAUGGUGUUGGUUGGUAAGUUUCGGCGGUUGUGGAUGUACUCGCGGCUUAUCAGCUUGUUUGUGGGGUAGUGGCUUACCAAGGCUUUGACGGGUAGCCGGCCUGAGAGGGUGACCGGCCACAUUGGGACUGAGAUACGGACCAGAAUCCUACGGGAGGCAGCAGUGGGGAAUAUUGCACAAUGGGCGGAAGCCUGAUGAAGCAACGCCGCGUGCGGGAUGACGGCCUUCGGGUUGUAAACCGAUUUCGCCUGUGACGAAGCGUGAGUGACGGUAAUGGGUAAAGAAGCACCGGCUAACUACGUG